CUGGAGGUAUCAGAAGUGCGAAUGCUGACAUAAGUAACGAUAAAGCGGGUGAAAAGCCCGCUCGCCGGAAGACCAAGGGUUCCUGUCCAACGUUAAUCGGGGCAGGGUGAGUCGACCCCUAAGGCGAGGCCGAAAGGCGUAGUCGAUGGGAAACAGGUUAAUAUUCCUGUACUUGGUGUUACUGCGAAGGGGGGACGGAGAAGGCUAUGUUGGCCGGGCGACGGUUGUCCCGGUUUAAGCGUGUAGGCUGGUUUUCCAGGCAAAUCCGGAAAAUCAAGGCUGAGGCGUGAUGACGAGGCACUACGGUGCUGAAGCAACAAAUGCCCUGCUUCCAGGAAAAGCCUCUAAGCAUCAGGUAACAUCAAAUCGUACCCCAAACCGACACAGGUGGUCAGGUAGAGAAUACCAAGGCGCUUGAGAGAACUCGGGUGAAGGAACUAGGCAAAAUGGUGCCGUAACUUCGGGAGAAGGCACGCUGAUAUGUAGGUGAAGUCCCUUGCGGAUGGAGCUGAAAUCAGUCGAAGAUACCAGCUGGCUGCAACUGUUUAUUAAAAACACAGCACUGUGCAAACACGAAAGUGGACGU
This 586-nucleotide ribosomal RNA is filed under the name Escherichia coli. RNAcentral's name for it is "partial 23S ribosomal RNA". It matches the Rfam family "Bacterial large subunit ribosomal RNA", at positions 1273 to 1844 of the family's 2925-position model. Lineage: Bacteria; Pseudomonadati; Pseudomonadota; Gammaproteobacteria; Enterobacterales; Enterobacteriaceae. The record is from RNAcentral.